GAAUUGCUUGCAGCGUUUUCUGGGCUUUCUUCCUUUUAUUAUGCAAAAACGAAUACAUGCGCAAGCAUCGGAUCACAACCCACGUACUACCGGUUUUACCGCGUCCAUCCCCGCGCCCGAUCGAGGUGGCCAGUCACCCGCACGGCUUGGCAUGCUGUGAGCUAAUCUCAACUAACAGACUCUGCAUGGCUACCACACGUCGGUGCUCAUGCACAUGCAAUGUAAAAGGAAUCCAAAGCUAACUAAGCUAACUAAGCUAAUUAUGCGAAGUUUACUAACAAAACUCCCCCUAAACCUCGCACAAUUUCUUCACCUCGACGACGCCAAUCCUGGACCGAAGCUCCAAGAACCGAUCACGCCCAAGUGCUUUCGUCAAGAUGUCUGCAAGCUGCUCAUCAGUGUUGAUGUACUCUAUAUUCACCCUUCCUUCCUCGACGCACUCUCUGAUGUAGUGGUAUCUUGUAUCGAUAUGUUUACUGCGAUCAUGAAAGACGGGAUUCUUGCUCAGCAGAAUUGCAGAUUGAUUAUCUACCUUCAGUGUGACCAAGCUGGCCUCUUCUCCUCUCAAUUCAGCCAACAGCCGCGACAGCCACACUCCCUGGCACGCAGCAGUCGUCGCCGCAAUAUACUCGGCUUCACACGACGACAAGGCCACAACCUUCUGUUUUUGUGAUUGCCAGGUGAUCAAAUUGUUUCCAAGGAAGAAGAAGACCCCGGACGUGCUCUUGCGCGUGUCGACGUCGCCAGCAAGAUCACUGUCACUGUAUCCUGUGAGAACUGCAGCAUCCUUCUUCCUCCUGUACAGACAGCCAAAGCUGGUGGUGCCGGCAACAUACCUGAGCACCCUUUUUACUGCCGCCAAAUGCUCGACCGUGGGUUUCUCCAUGAAGCGGCUGACAUAUCCCACGGCGUAAGCCAAAUCCGGCCUUGAAUUGACCAAAUACCGCAGCGACCCCACGAUCUUCCUGUACUCAGUAGCAUCAACAAGUGGCGAUUCACUGAACUUACUGAGCUUCAAUCUUGACUCCAUGGGAGUCAGGCUGAGAUUACUUCCUGCCAUCCCGGCGAGAUCCAGUAUCUUCUCGGCGUAGGCUCGUUGGCUCACGGUGAUACCUUGAUCAUCUUGCUUCACCUCCAGGCCCAAGUAAUACUUCAACAAGCCGAGGUCGCUCAUUUGGAACGUGCCCUUCAUUUCUUGCUUGAAUUGUUCAACUUCAGCCGGGAUGCCACCAGUGAUGACCAGAUCAUCGACGUAAACGCCAACAACCAGUCGAUGUGUUCCUGCACCGCGAAAAUAAACUGCAUGUUCCGACGCGCUCCGGUGAAAACCGAGCGUCAGUAGCGACGCAUCGAGCUUGGCGUACCAAGCGCGUGGGGCUAGACGCAAACCGUACAGCGCCUUGUCGAGACGCAACACCAUGUGCUCCUUCCCGGCUACGAUGAACCCCGGUGGCUGUGCGACAUGAACCUCCUCCCGGAGCUCGCCGUUGAGGAAAGCGGACUUUACGUCCAUGUGGUGAACCACCCAGCCUUCGCACGCCGCGUGCGCCAGCAGUAGCCGGACAGACUCCAGCCUGGCCACCGGCGCGAAAACUUCAUCGAAAUCAAUUCCUUGCCGUUGCACAUACCCCUUGGCCACGAGUCGCGCCUUGUGCUUGGUGACAUUCCCGGCGGCGUCCUUCUUGGUCUUGAACACCCAUUUGAGCCCAAUGGGGCGCUGAUGCGCCGGUGCAUUGACCAGUCGCCAGGUGUUGUUUGCCUCGAUCGACUUCAUUUCUUCGAACAUUGCCUGGCGCCAGCACUCGUGGUGCUCGGCUUCAGCGAACGAUGUUGGUUCUUUGGCUGAAACAAACAACAAAUCUUCGUCGAAGUCGCGUGACGCCAGUCCCGGUGGGGUUGCGGGGCCGAGGAUGUUCUCCAUGGUUCGAAACCUGAGCGGUGCAUCAUCUGCAUCGUCAUCAAGGUUAGCUUCAUGGUUAGGUGGUGGCGACGUGAACUCCACAUCUGGCGCGGCUUGCGUUGAUGUUGGCGCCGGCGAGCUGCGUGCCCGCGACAAUACAACUGACGAUGAUGACCCGCCCCGCUCCGGCGUGGGCGGACCACCUGGUUGCUGAGUGCCUUGCUCUGGUGCCAGGCCUAUGACUGUGAGAUCCGCGAUCAUGUCUUCGAUGGUGAAGUCGCUGACGACGCCUUCUGGUUCCUCAUCAUCCCAAUUCCACUGGGCUUCCUCAUCAAACACGACGUCACGUGAGACGUGCACGCGUCGUGUGGCUGGGUCGUAGACACGAUAUGCCUUGGACCCAGCCUCGUACCCCACGAAAAUCAUGGGCUUGCUCCGAUCAUCAAGUUUCUUCAAGUGAGGCUUGGUAAUCUUGACGUGGGCGAUACACCCAAAAGUGCGGAGGUGGUGCACAGCCAUUGCGGCGCCGUUCCACAGCUCGUACGGCGUCUUGCCCCCGAUGCUCUUUGAGGUCGAUCUGUUCAGCAAGUAGACGGCCGUGUUCACCGCCUCCCCCCAAAAUAUGCCAGGGAGCCCUUUCGCUUUCAGCAUACUCCGAGUUGUGCCCACCACCGAUUGAUUCCGGCGCUCAACGACGCCGUUCUGCUGCGGUGAGUACGGCGCCGUCAGUUCUCGACGCAGCCCGAGCUCGGCGCAGUAGUCGUUGAAGUGCGCCACCGAGAAUUCCCCGCCGCGGUCCGUGCGUAGUGCACGAACCAGCCUGCCCGUCUGGCGCUCGGCGGCGGCUUGGACGUGUUUGAUGGCGGCCGGAGCAGCGUCCUUCGACGGAAGAAGCUUGAGCCACAUGUAGCGGCUAAAAAAAUCAACGAGGAGCAGGAAGUAGCUAUUCCCGCUGGGAGUCGGNNNNNNNNNNNNNNNNNNNNNNNNNNNNNNNNNNNNNNNNNNNNNNNNNNNNNNNNNNNNNNNNNNNNNNNNNNNNNNNNNNNNNNNNNNNNNNNNNNNNNNNNNNNNNNNNNNNNNNNNNNNNNNNNNNNNNNNNNNNNNNNNNNNNNNNNNNNNNNNNNNNNNNNNNNNNNNNNNNNNNNNNNNNNNNNNNNNNNNNNNNNNNNNNNNNNNNNNNNNNNNNNNNNNNNNNNNNNNNNNNNNNNNNNNNNNNNNNNNNNNNNNNNNNNNNNNNGGGCUGGGUGGAGCGGCUCAGGGCGCGUUGCGGGAAGGGCGCCCGACGGUGCUUGCCGGCGAGGCACGCUUCGCAGACUUGAUCAACUUGUGUCAGCAUUGGCAGCCCGCGCACGAGCUCUUCUCGGCUCAUCUUGCGCAGCGCGGUGAAGUUGAUGUGGCCGAACCGCGCGUGCCAUCUCCAGGCAUCCUCGCCGGCGUGCGCCGUUAAGCACACCGGACGCGCGAGCUUGGUGUCGAGGACGUACAGGCGUCCCGGACUCCUCGGGAUCCUCGCGAGCAAGCGUCGUUGUUCGUCACGGACGCGCAUGAUGCCACCCUACACACGCACCUGAAAACCAACUUCAUCGAGUUGUCCGAUGCUUAUUAUGUUAGCUGCAAGGCGGGGCAGACAGUAUGUGUUGGCGAGCGUGCGGUGUUCUCCAUUCUUGCAGGCGAAGAGGAUCGUCCCACGACCCUCAAUCUUGACAACGGAGCCAUCCCCGAGUCGAACAUUUCCGGUGACGGCAGUGUUGAGGUCAGAGAAGGCCGCCUUGCACCCGGUCAUGUGGUUUGAUGCGCCGGAGUCCAUGAUCCAGCUCCGCGGGUCACGAUCGAUCUCGUCAUCCACGGCGGCAAAAACUUUUUUCUCGUGGAGCUCGCCGACGUCGUGGAGCUCGCCAACGUCGUGGCAUGUUGUGGAUGCCGUUGGCGAGAAAGUUUCUGACGAGCUUGUUGUCGUGGGCCGAGUUGGAUCGGCGACGUCGUCGCUGCCUCCCAUCAGAAGCAUCAGCGUCGGCUCGUCAUCUUGGGCCACGUUUGCCUGUUCGUCCCGCUUGUGCUUGCUUCUGCAGUCCUUGGCCCAAUGGCCAUAUUUGCCGCAAUUGCGACAUUUGUCAUCCUUGCGGACCGGCCCGGAGUUUGAACCAUCCGAGCCGCCGCUCCCGCCGGUGCCGCCGUUGCCCGAUCGCCCCUUGCCGCCGCGGCGCUUGCCGCGACCGCCGGAGCUCGAGCCGCCGGAGCGCUUAGCCUCCUGCUCCUUCUUCUUGUGCCGCUCGAGCCACUCCUCCUCCGUGAGGUAGAGCUUGUCUCCGGCACCCUGGGAGGCAGGCGAGGAUUGACCGGAAUCUUCCGCCGCCUUCAGCCUACCCGUGACCUCCUCCAUGGACAGUGUAGAUAUAUCUAGGAGUGUCUCAAUUGAAAGAACAAGUUGACUAAACCUCGGGCGCGCAACGCGCAAGUAUUUUUCGACGACCUUGGUGGCGGGCUCGGGGUCGCCGAGGGUUGCCAGCUGAUUGACGACGCCGGCUAGCCGCAUCGCGAAAUCCUCCACGUGCUCCCCAUCGCGGAAGGCGAUCGCCUCGUACUCGGCACGCACCCGCUGCGCGCUGGCCUUGCGGAUGCGAUCGUCGCCGACGCGCAUGGUCCUGAUGCAGUCCCAUGCCUCCUUCGCGGAUGCCUUGGUUGCCAGCGUUGAGAUCAUCUCAAGCGGCACGACGCUGCAAAUCGCGUCGAGGGCCAUCCGAUCUUCCUGGACCUCCACCUCGGCCUCCCCGGGUUCGAUGGCGCCCCAGAGAGACCGCGCCUGCAGCUUGAUCCUCAUGAGAAGGGACCACUCGUUGUAGUUUGUCUUCGUGAGAACUGGGUAGUUCGCCGGGCCUCCGGACUCCUUGACCACGCGGUGUAUCACCAGCCCGUGGUUGUUCCCGCCGCUGCCCGAAGCGCGGCCGCCGGCAUCUCGUGGAGUUGGAGGGCAUCUACUUCCUGGAUGACCUGUGCUUCUACGACCCCAUGAUCGUGUUCAGGGCGAGAGCCCAACGGCGAUACCUCUGCAACGAUUGUCAGGAAUUCGCUAGAAGAUUGCUGGCUAGAACACAGAAUCAACGCACACGAUUUCUGGACGAACACUUAGCACACAAAGAACAAGAACUACUGUAGAGAAAAAGACAACGAAGAACACACUCUGGGUUUGGUGCUGCCUGAAUUGCUUGCAGCGUUUUCUGGGCUUUCUUCCUUUUAUUAUGCAAAAACGAAUACAUGCGCAAGCAUCGGAUCACAACCCACGUACUACCGGUUUUACCGCGUCCAUCCCCGCGCCCGAUCGAGGUGGCCAGUCACCCGCACGGCUGGGCAUGCUGCGAGCUAAUCUCAACUAACAGACUCUGCAUGGCUACCACACGUCGGUGCUCAUGCACAUGCAAUGCAAAAGGAAUCCAAAGCUAACUAAGCUAACUAAGCUAAUUAUGCGAAGUUUACUAACAACGAUGUCGGGAUAUGGUCGGGAAGACCACCGCAUGUCAAGCGUUGCAUCCCGGCGUAUGGUCCGUCGAGCGAAUCCUCUCCAGUUUGGGUUCUCCCUUAGAUGAGACAACGAGUUUCGGCAGAGCAUCGAUCAGAUCAAGUAAGUAGUAUGUGGUCAUGCUGAGUUCGAUGGUGUUGUCGUGUUGAAAUUUUUUCUUGCUGGUGUAAGCUGGCGAAGGAAUUCUCAAUUCAGUGAAUAAAUGAUGUUGAAUUCGUCGUUCACCUAGUUUCUGUGUAAUUGCAUUUUGAUUCGGGUUUCUUUAAGCUUUAGUGAGAUUGCAAUGUGCAAAUAUCUGAACUGAUAUCUGCACAUUGUUCUGUUUCUUGCUAACUGGAUAGUCAUGUUACAGUGUUAUUGAUCUGCACCAGUGAAUUCCAAUCGAGUGGCUGAUUGAGUUUGAUGCAUCAUCCUAAAUAUUUGUUAGCUGAAACCGGAAACGGCACUCAUUUACGCAAUGUUUGUGCACCAUUUGCUACCUUUGAUUCGGUUGCGCUCUUGGACGAUUCAACAUGUUUGCACGUCGUUGCAACUGGUAGUUUCAGUGUGGACUCGUGCAUGGAUGUUCUUGGAUUCUGUGACCCAGGGCACACCCCAUUUCUGUUGUUUUUGGAUCUAGAUGCUGGGUGUCCAUUUCUUUAUUCAAACUGUAUUAGAAUGAAAGCCAAAAUUUGCUCUGUACACUUGCAGCCUACUUUCCCUCAGGGCUUUCUGUAUAUUUAACUGUGAAUCGACAAUACUGAAGUUCUUGGUUCUAAUGAAAAUUCCACUAAGUUAGAUGUUCAUACUUCCAUCUUGUCCUUGCAUUGUCCACUUUCGUUCUUCUCAAAAGCAAAUAGAUGCUCGGUUCAUAUCUCUGAAGUAUUUGCUUACUGCGUUAGGCUAGCUGGCCUUCUAAAUUGGCCUUCAUAACGGAACAGUGCUACCAAUUCUUGUUUUACUUAAACAUUGUCUUUAGAUUACUUACUUUCUUCGGAUAGAAGAUGCACGAAGAUACUACCAGUUCCCAUAUAAUUUGGUCUGUGUGCUGUACUGUCACCCUUCAGAAGUUGUAUCAAUGUGCAUAUCCUGUAGACUGAGCCUGGCUGUCUCUCUGCAUGUAUCAUCUGUAAUAUGUAUUGAGUGAGCUACUUAGUGCUAAUUGGUUUGGUCACUCGUAAAUAUUGGCAACUUGUCAUGGAACAAUGAGGGCACUAAACCUUGCUCCAGCUGCAAUGGAGUUCAUUACCAAAUCGUACUGAGUUGCUGGACAGUUGAAACAUUAAAGUUAGUUCAUCCGGCUAGCUGAUUCUUGCUUCGAUCCAUCUGCAUUCUGAUGUUUCAUUCCUCUUGCUGAGAUAAUUGCUGUUUAGCCCCCAUGCAAUUUGUGUGCCCUGUUUGUGCUGUAAACCGAAGCAAAACUUCCUUCAGUUCAGAAAACACUUGCAGCUAACAAUAGUGUGUGUUAGUCUGUACUUAUGAUCUCCUUUUUUAUGAUACUUGGGCUCUUGUUCUGUUACCUCGGCCAUUCAGGUAUUCGUAUGAUCCAAUGGACAAUUGCUUGUUUUUGGAUGCCAUGUGACUCGUCCACAUCAAAAUUCCUUGAUUGAUGGUGUUACCAUAGUUUCUUAUUUAUAGAGGCUGGAAGAAAUAUAAAUGGUUAACGGUCUUGCAAAACAUUAUCUUCCUUGGAGAAUUGUGUUGAAUAGUUCCAUAUUGGUUGUGGAGGGACAAUGUACCUAGGAUAUAAGUGGGGGAGCCCCUCACCUUAUUGGCUAGCUUUUGAGGUGAGAAAUGCCCUUUAUGAUCCUACAAGUAGUAUCAGAGCUUGACUAGUUUAACAUCUCUGGCCCGAUGGACAUAGUGUGUGAAGGCCUAAUGGACCGUAGGGUGUCUGUGGGAUGCGGGGCCUGUAUACCUAAUGGACCGUGGGCUGGUGAUAGCUCGGAUACGGUGAAGGGGCGGUGAAGGGCUGAGGGACACCAAUGUGUGAAGGAGAAGAUUGUUAAAUAGUCCCACAUUGGUUGUGGACGGGCAAUGGAUCUAGGAUAUAAGUGGGGAGGAGCCCUUCACCUUAUUGACUAGCUUUUGAGAUAAAAAGACCUUCUACGAUCAUAUAAAUUGUCUGAGAGAACGCAAGAGAAAAGAAAAACACAUUGACGUUUCAAACUGAAAAACACAGAGCCCUAAGUGUCUUGAUAGUGGUUUCUUGUCUAUUAUUUUUCAUGCAUUGCUAGAUUUAAGCUUGGUCAUGCCAUGUAGAAAACGGAUACGAUUAACAUCUCGCCUGCAUCUCCAUAUGUAGAAUGCUUCUCUCAUCUUAUUCUAAGGUGCCUGGGCCAGCGAACAACCGAUGGUUUGGCUUCUGCAGAUCGCCAUGAGGUGCAUCGAUGCCUUCUCGCUGCCGCCGACCAUGAGAGAGGUCAUCGGAAUGGUGAACGCCAUCUGCGAGGAGCACGACAGGUCGAUCUCCUCGGAAGCAUGAGCGCGACACGGACAAACACCGAGCAACUGAGCAGUAUUUGCAGUGCAAAAAUUACCUCACUGUGUGCAGUUUGGCAAUUUUAGUUAAUAUGCUGUCAAAAUUUUGUUUAAAUUAAUUUAGAUUUGAACUGAAAUUAGUUCAAAUUUUAGUACAUUUCUCAAUUUAAUCAAACUUCACUGAAAUAUUAAACAAAUUUGUCUCAAAU
This 8083-nucleotide long non-coding RNA is filed under the name Oryza brachyantha (malo sina). RNAcentral describes it as "long non-coding RNA (OBRA_LNC003130)". Lineage: Eukaryota; Viridiplantae; Streptophyta; Magnoliopsida; Poales; Poaceae. The record is from RNAcentral.